UUCCUAUCACACAACUUUCAAUAAUAAAUACACAGUAACCCAAUUCUUCAAAACACAGAAAAUUCAUGAUGCCGAAAACCCAGUUAGAAAAAACAAAAAUUGAUACCGUAGAAGUAAGAUCCGUGAUGGACAAAGCCCGUUUGUUCCUGAAGCGGUGAAGAAAGGAAUCAGGAAGAGGGUGCUUUUUCUUGCGGGUUGGUAAGUCCUCAAUAUCACUGCCACUCGAUAACCUUCUUUUGGACGCAAUGGUGAUGGAUAACGCAUUAUUGUGAAGGGGUGAUUUUGAAGAAGAAGAAGAAGAACGAAUUGCGGAGCAAGAACGAGUGGAAGCGAAAGCGAAAGCAGCUUCAAUGAGAGCCAUUUCGUCGUCGCUGAUUAUUUUGAUGGGUAUAUGAUGUGGAUUCUGGUCCUCCGAGGAAGAUGAUGCCAUGUUCGUGUCGUGACCGUUGAAAACGCCGC
This 459-nucleotide long non-coding RNA is filed under the name Phaseolus vulgaris (common bean). RNAcentral's name for it is "long non-coding RNA (PVUL_LNC000097)". Lineage: Eukaryota; Viridiplantae; Streptophyta; Magnoliopsida; Fabales; Fabaceae. The record is from RNAcentral.